Molecule: ribosomal RNA, 490 nt
Filed under: uncultured bacterium
Lineage: Bacteria
Description: partial 16S ribosomal RNA
Rfam family: Bacterial small subunit ribosomal RNA
Source: RNAcentral
AGUGAACGCUGGCGGUAGGCCUAACACGUGCAAGUCGAACGGCAGCACAGGAGAGCUUGCUCUCUGGGUGGCGAGUGGCGGACGGGUGAGGAAUACAUCGGAAUCUGCCCAGUCGUGGGGGAUAACGUAGGGAAACUUACGCUAAUACCGCAUACGACCUUCGGGUGAAAGAGGGGGAUCGCAAGACCUCUCGCGAUUGGAUGAGCCGAUGUCGGAUUAGCUAGUUGGCGGGGUAAUGGCCCACCAAGGCGACGAUCCGUAGCUGGUCUGAGAGGAUGAUCAGCCACACUGGAACUGAGACACGGUCCAGACUCCUACGGGAGGCAGCAGUGGGGAAUAUUGGACAAUGGGCGCAAGCCUGAUCCAGCCAUACCGCGUGGGUGAAGAAGGCCUUCGGGUUGUAAAGCCCUUUUGUUGGGAAAGAAAUCGUUCAGGCUAAUACCCUAGGAGGAUGACGGUACCCAAAGAAUAAGCACCGGCUAACUUCGUG